GAGAGUAUAGCUCAGUGGCAAAGCAUGUGCUUAGCAUGCACAGGGUCCUAGGUUCAAUCCCCGGUACUGCCC
RNAcentral lists this transfer RNA (72 nucleotides) under Camelus bactrianus (Bactrian camel). It matches the Rfam family "tRNA". Rfam says of the family: Transfer RNA (tRNA) molecules are approximately 80 nucleotides in length. Their secondary structure includes four short double-helical elements and three loops (D, anti-codon, and T loops). RNAcentral also lists the same sequence under 2 other names. Lineage: Eukaryota; Metazoa; Chordata; Mammalia; Artiodactyla; Camelidae. The record is from Rfam by way of RNAcentral.